This 341-nucleotide ribosomal RNA is filed under the name Escherichia coli. Its description in RNAcentral is "bacterial SSU rRNA". It matches the Rfam family "Bacterial small subunit ribosomal RNA", at positions 1 to 336 of the family's 1533-position model. Lineage: Bacteria; Pseudomonadati; Pseudomonadota; Gammaproteobacteria; Enterobacterales; Enterobacteriaceae. The record is from RNAcentral.
UUAAAUUGAAGAGUUUGAUCAUGGCUCAGAUUGAACGCUGGCGGCAGGCCUAACACAUGCAAGUCGAACGGUAACAGGAAACAGCUUGCUGUUUCGCUGACGAGUGGCGGACGGGUGAGUAAUGUCUGGGAAACUGCCUGAUGGAGGGGGAUAACUACUGGAAACGGUAGCUAAUACCGCAUAACGUCGCAAGACCAAAGAGGGGGACCUUCGGGCCUCUUGCCAUCGGAUGCGCCCAGAUGGGAUUAGCCAGUAGGUGGGGUAACGGAUCACCUAGGCGACGAUCCCUAGCUGGUCUGAGAGGAUGACCAGCCACACUGGAACUGAGACACGGUCCAGAC